GGGUCAGGUUUUUUAAAAAAAAAAAUUCAAACGCUUUUCCGCUGUAUUUCAAACAAAAAGGGGACCCCGGGGCGUGACAAGAAGGCUUGUUGGAGGGUGGAGUUAGCACUUGUGCAACAAGUGGAGGAAGAAGCUAGAACUCAAGCCCUAAUUGACGAGUAAUCUGACGCAUUGGAAAAUUCGGAUCGAGAUUCCAGCGAGUCUACGCCAAGAUAUUAAGAAAAAACCCCAUUUGGACUUCUUAAUUUUGCCGUGGUCGAGGGGAAUAGGCGAUCAUAAAUCACAAGACUUGAAUCAUAGCCUUUUGGCAUCCCUAUGAGGUUCAAGCGAGGCGAUCGAGGACCGUGGCAAGGGUAUCGCACCCUAGCUAAUGACUACCCGAGUAUAGAACAUACCUUGUCGUUAUCAUCUUUUGUUUAUGAUGAGCUAAUGUAUAAAUGAUGUAAAAAGGGUAUGUGAUGUAUCUUUUGGAUGAUGUAUAAAUGAAAGAAAGAAUGUAAAUUUUAAUAUGCAUUUAUGUGAUUGAAUGUAAUCAUAGUACUUGCGUGGA
Ananas comosus (pineapple) is the source of this 550-nucleotide long non-coding RNA. RefSeq lists it as uncharacterized. Lineage: Eukaryota; Viridiplantae; Streptophyta; Magnoliopsida; Poales; Bromeliaceae. The transcript is spliced from 3 exons. The record is from RefSeq and is a predicted model, not a curated record.